AUUGAACGCUGGCGGCAGGCCUAACACAUGCAAGUCGAGCGAGCGGCGGACGGGUGAGUAAUGUAUGGGGACUGCCCGAUAGAGGGGGAUAACUACUGGAAACGGUGGCUAAUACCGCAUACUAUCGGAUAACCCAAAUGGGAUUAGCUAGUAGGUGGGGUAAAGGCUCACCUAGGCGACGAUCUCUAGCUGGUCUGAGAGGAUGAUCAGCCCCACUAGGACUGAGACACGCCCCAGACUCGUACGGAGGCGGAAGUGGGGGAUAUUGCACAAUGGGCGAAAGCCUGAUGCAGGUACGCCGCGUGGGGGAUGAAGGCUUUCGGGUUGUAAACCUCUGUCGCUAUCGAACGGGUAGGUGGAGAAGAAGCGCCGGCUAACUACGUGCCAGCAGCCGCGGUAAUAC
This 403-nucleotide ribosomal RNA is filed under the name uncultured bacterium. RNAcentral describes it as "partial 16S ribosomal RNA". It matches the Rfam family "Bacterial small subunit ribosomal RNA", at positions 30 to 526 of the family's 1533-position model. The record is from RNAcentral.